This is a non-coding RNA of Phoenix dactylifera (date palm), 1231 nucleotides long. Lineage: Eukaryota; Viridiplantae; Streptophyta; Magnoliopsida; Arecales; Arecaceae. The record is from RefSeq and is a predicted model, not a curated record.
UUAGCUUUGAAAAAAGAUAAUUAUAAUAGUCUGGGAAAAAAAAGGUACCGUAGCGACAUCCUAGAGUCCUAGUUGUCGUGUUUGGAUUCCCCAGUUCGUAUCUUGCGGGCGUUUUCGAAACCAAGCAGUUUAUCGCUCAUUGUGAGAAUUCGUACAUAUAGAUGUUUAAUUUUAUAUCGAUUAGAUACUGGAUUGUUCUUGUACGGGAUAAAAAAAGGAUCCAAACAGGCUAAUUUUUUUGGGUAAGAUCUUGGAUUGAAAGUCCGCGUGGAUCACGUUCACACCCAGAUAGGCGACUUUUGGUUGCAGGAGACAGAGAUAUAGCGAGCGGGCGACGACGGGAGGAGAGACCGAGAGGACGGGAAUGGGGAUGGAGGAGCGAGAGAGGGCGGCCAGGGACUGGCUGGAGGGCAUCAUCGCGAAGGGCCAAAGCCAAGACGCCGGCGGCGAGGCGGUGUGGAAAGGCGGCUUCUUCGACGCCCUCUCCCUCUCCGGCCUCCGGAUCUCCCGCGCCCAGGCCGGCCGAGCCCUCUGCUCCUUCCGCGUCCCCGCCCACCUCACCGACGGGGAGGGCAAUUGGCAGGCCGGGGCGAUCGGGACGGUGAUGGACGACGUGGGGGCGGCGGCCAUCAUGACCACCGAGGGCCUCAUCAAGGUCUCCGUCCAGUUCGACAUCUCCUACUUCUCCCCUGUCCGCGCCAACGAAGAGGUGGAGAUCGACGCACGGAUUGUGGAGCACAAAGGAGCCAGAAGGCUGACGGCGGUGGUGGUGGAGAUACGGAAGAAGGGGAACGGACAGAUGGUGGCCGUGGGAAGGCAGUGGAUGACAUCUGGUCGCCCCUUCCACAGCAAACUAUAACAAUCUUAUUAUCAAGAACGAAAAACUAGAGCAAGCAUAGCAAAUAUAGUUGUCAAGAUGCUACGUGCGUUUCGAGAUUCUGCACGAUACUUGGAGAACAAAUGGACAAGUAUUUCAAAAAACUCAUUAAAAUUCAAGUGCAAGAGCGGAGGAAUGAGAGAGAGAACAGAAAACAAAGAAGAAAGGAAAAGAAAAGGAGCAAGAAAACAGAAGGAUCAAUACAAGGUUAGAAAUAUAUUCAUUGCCCCAAACGCUAUCAAUGCCUUUUUAAUUGUCAAUAACAUAAAUCUACAACCCCUGAUUAUCAUGGGGUGGUGAUGUUCCAAACUCGCUACCUUGGAUGAAAUAUCAAGGAAAUCAAAUUUUCCAUAA